CAGAGCACCCCACUCUCCAGCCAGAUUUGCUCUAACUCAAGAAGCAAUACGAGCAGAGCAACAGAACCGCAACCUGGGCAGACUUUCCAAACAAGUCAUAAGGCACAAAAGAAUGUGAAGAGAAGGAAAAAUUCUUCAGGAUGAGGCAUUGUGCGCCAAAAAGGAAGGCUGAUACCCAGAUGGUGGAAGAAAGAUAAUGAAUUCAAAGAAGGAAGGAGGAAAGUAAUUGCACUUUAUAUUUAAAAUUAUCCCCCUUCUACAUAUUUGUAGUUCAGGACAGAAGGCUACACUUCUCUGGCUUUGCCACCCCUGGGCCGUUUCUUUCCUGAGAGCAGUAGUAGCCCAGCUUGAACCAGAAAGGCAACAGAGAGUACACAUUACAGGGAGCAGAACCACCUAGGCUUCACAGGGGACAUGGGUUCGAGCCCUGGUCCGGGAAGAUCCCACAUGCCGCGGAGCAACUAAGAUCGUGCGCCACAACUACUGAGCCUGCGCUCUAGAGCCCGCGAGCCACAACUACUGAAGCCCGCGCGCCUAGAGCCCGUGCUCCGCAACAAGAGAAGCCACCGCAAUAAGACCACGCGCCACAAUGAAGAGUAGCCCCCGCUCGCUGCAACUAGAGAAAGCCCGCGCGCAGCAAUGAAGACCA
Molecule: long non-coding RNA, 649 nt
Organism: Balaenoptera ricei (Rice's whale)
Lineage: Eukaryota; Metazoa; Chordata; Mammalia; Artiodactyla; Balaenopteridae
Exons: 4
Source: RefSeq, a predicted model, not a curated record